UCCGUAUGGUAAGGAGUCAUUGCCCUGAAACACCACUUGUUCUCUAAAUUAAUGGAAAUGGUGGCUCGUUGAGCAUAUGAAAGGAACUGGAGUUGAUGUGAUUGUGCUAGACUGGACAGUGGAUAUGGCAGAUGGAAGGAAGUGUUUGCAACUUUGCGUAGUAUCACCCCUUCCUGUGCUUGUCUGUUGAAAUACAUUGAGUUGUGAGAUGUGCUAGGCCAAGGGGACACAUUCCUAAUCUUGGACAUAGUUGGGACUCCUGAAGAAGCUGUUGCUCAUUUCUUUGAAGUUGCAAGAACUCUUCAGGAUCAUGCAGCAGAACGAAUUGGCAGUUUGAGGAGUCAUGUCAACAAUUUUUUUUUUAAGAAAAUGGGUGUUGAAUGUGAGUUGAUGCCUCGUUCAUUUUUGUGACUGAUUGAAGUUCAUUCGAAGCCGCACAAUUUUUGAGGCACUGACUGGAGCUUUGAGGUUCUGUGCCUGCAUGUGCUUUGGGAGAUAUUCUUGCAAGUGAGAUGAGAGCUUGCCAUUAUAUUGAUUACCAAGGUAAGGCAAAAAUAUUCAAGUCUCUACAGAUGAUGGGCUAGAAGCUCUACAAUAUUAAGUUUCAAAGCAAAUGAUCAAAAGUAUUGUUGACUAAUGGGCAUUCAUCAAUCUUCUCCUGAUGGCGCCAUCUCCAUCGGCAUCACCAUUAGGCAAAAACUGGCCAUAUAUACAGCGUAUGCUAUCAAGUCUGUCACCACCGCCACACAAGACAAAGAUAGUGGUGGUCAUUUUUAGAUUUCAUGUCAAAGUUACCCACUUUUAGGUUGGCACUUACUUUUCAAAUUUUCUUUUUGAUGAAUUUUCUUAUAGGUUCUGAAUUUUAGUUGGGUUUCAACUGAACGCUUCAAACUAUUUGAGCUCCUGAUCUUGUCGAGAUAAUGUACAUAAAUAAUGACCUAAUAAUUGCAGUUUGUUUGCUCUUUGUACUGAAUGAGCUGGCCUUGCAGCUAAUGACGGUUUUCGGUAUCUCAAGAUGGCAUAGCAUAGCAUCCAAUGUUGCGUCCAGAAAGAGCAAGACACAGGAAAGCUAGGAAAAGAUGGUUUUCAUCAACCUGCUGCAUAUGACCUCUCUAAAGGAGCACAAGGGAAAUAAUUUAUCCGGAUCCUAGGAAAAGAUGUCCUUAAAUUCUGAAUACUUUGUCUCUUAAUUUUCAAAUUUGGCCAUCCUGUUUGAGCUGUCUGUAAAGCUACAAUACAGUGAAAAGUGCUAUUGUUAGUAAAGCAUAUGUUUAAAGCAA
Molecule: long non-coding RNA, 1280 nt
Organism: Hevea brasiliensis (rubber tree)
Lineage: Eukaryota; Viridiplantae; Streptophyta; Magnoliopsida; Malpighiales; Euphorbiaceae
Exons: 4
Source: RefSeq, a predicted model, not a curated record